RNAcentral lists this long non-coding RNA (1188 nucleotides) under Homo sapiens (human). Its description in RNAcentral is "non-protein coding lnc-ORMDL2-1:19". The record is from RNAcentral. Lineage: Eukaryota; Metazoa; Chordata; Mammalia; Primates; Hominidae.
AAGGACUAGACCUUCUUUCUAUCCUUACUCCCCUCAAUGUAUCCAUCUUACCUCUUGAUUUUCCCUCCCAUUCCCUCACAGUUCCUGAAACAGUGCCCCCCCCCGACCCUAAGCGACCCCUUUCUGCCCCUGGCCUUGAGGUCCCUUGACGUGCUGCUCCUGUCUUCUGCUCCUCUAGUGAGCCAUUCCUCUCCCUUGGAAUUCAUCAGAGUCAUCCCUGUAGAGCCCCCUUCCUGCCUCUCAAUUCCUCCUGCCUCACUUCCCAGGCUACUGCUGCUUCAAGACAGUGACGUUUCUCUCCGGUCAGCUGUCAGGAGCGCUGGUGAGCUUCCUACUGUGCCACAAGGUGCGGGUGCUGGAGACACAGCUGAGCCUGGAAAUGAGAGUGGGCAUCGCCGUGGUCAUCAUGACUCCUCUGCGGCGUGGUCACCAUGUUGGUUCACUGUGUUGGGCUCUUAUUGACGGGUCUCCUGCUAGGCCUGACCUUGGGUGCCGGAGCCCUGCUGGCUUCUGAGCCUAUCUACCAACCACCUUCAGCCUGGGUGCCAGCUGGGGGGCUGGUGGGGCUGGCGCUGCUGGGAGCCCUGCUCACACUUCGGUGGCCACGUCCAUUCACAGUUCUGGGCACAACCCUGCUGGGUUCUGCAGUGCUUGUGGCCUGUGUUGACUACUUCCUGGAGGGGCUGGCACUGGGGAGUUGGCUGGGCCAACGCCUGCAGACACUUCCAGCCUUGCCUUCUCUCUGCUGAUAUAGCUGGGUCUUACUGGGGAUCUGGCCAGCCUUGGGGGCCCUUGGAGCCCUGGCCCAGUGGAAGCUCGUGCCUGAGGAACAUGGAGGCCACGCUAAUGAGUUACUUCCAGAGUCUUCAAGAGUGCCAACUGGGACCAGGACCCCAGACCACAGCCCCCCACACCGUCCUGGACCUGGAUUCUGACUGUGGUUCCACUGUACCCCUCACCUUAAUCUCUGGUUCUAACCAGACCUGAGCCUAGACUUCCACUUUUUCCCUUACCCCUGUGAGGGCCUGGGAACACUAGGGUCUGUUCCUGGUUUCCCAGAUGCAUAAAGGAAGACAUAUCCCUCCCCUGGGCAGCAAGGCUACAAUGGGAGGGAGGGAGAACAUGGGAGCAUGUGAAUAAAAUGGCAUUAAAUACUGAACCAGGGAGUCCAGCCUCUGCUGUUGCUGC